RNAcentral lists this ribosomal RNA (253 nucleotides) under uncultured bacterium. RNAcentral describes it as "partial 16S ribosomal RNA". It matches the Rfam family "Bacterial small subunit ribosomal RNA", at positions 524 to 776 of the family's 1533-position model. The record is from RNAcentral.
UACGUAGGGUGCGAGCGUUGUCCGGAAUUACUGGGCGUAAAGAGCUCGUAGGUGGUUUGUCGCGUUGUCCGUGAAAACUCACAACUCAAUUGUGGGCGUGCGGGCGAUACGGGCAGACUGGAGUACUGCAGGGGAGACUGGAAUUCCUGGUGUAGCGGUGGAAUGCGCAGAUAUCAGGAGGAACACCGGUGGCGAAGGCGGGACUCUGGGCCGAUACUGACGCUGAGGAGCGAAAGCGUGGGUAGCAAACGGG